Molecule: microRNA, 20 nt
Filed under: Drosophila pseudoobscura pseudoobscura
Lineage: Eukaryota; Metazoa; Arthropoda; Insecta; Diptera; Drosophilidae
Description: mir-2524-1-RA
Source: RNAcentral
UAUUGUACUGCGACUCGGGC